This 66-nucleotide transfer RNA is filed under the name Platisus bicolor. RNAcentral's name for it is "tRNA-Tyr". It matches the Rfam family "tRNA". Rfam says of the family: Transfer RNA (tRNA) molecules are approximately 80 nucleotides in length. Their secondary structure includes four short double-helical elements and three loops (D, anti-codon, and T loops). Lineage: Eukaryota; Metazoa; Arthropoda; Insecta; Coleoptera; Cucujidae. The record is from RNAcentral.
GGUAAAAUGGCUGAAUUAGGCAAUAAAUUGUAAAUUUAUUUAUGAAAAUAGAAUUUUCUUUUACCA